Molecule: ribosomal RNA, 450 nt
Filed under: uncultured prokaryote
Description: bacterial SSU rRNA
Rfam family: Bacterial small subunit ribosomal RNA
Source: RNAcentral
UCGGGAAUUUUGGGCAAUGGGCGCAAGCCUGACCCAGCAACGCCGCGUGAGGGAUGAAGGCCUUCGGGUCGUAAACCUCUGUCAGGAGGGAAGAACGGCACCAGAACGAGUAGCUCUGGGGAUUGACGGUACCUCCAAAGGAAGGACCGGCUAACUCCGUGCCAGCAGCCGCGGUAAUACGGAGGGUCCAAGCGUUGUUCGGAAUCAUUGGGCGUAAAGCGCGUGUAGGCGGUUGGGUAAGUCGCAUGUGAAAGCCCGAGGCUCAACCUCGGAAAUGCAAGCGAUACUGCCCGGCUAGAGUCCCGGAGAGGAUGGCGGAAUUCCCGGUGUAGAGGUGAAAUUCGUAGAGAUCGGGAGGAACACCAGUGGCGAAGGCGGCCAUCUGGACGGUGACUGACGCUGAGACGCGAAAGCGUGGGGAGCAAACAGGAUUAGAUACCCGUGUAGUCC